RNAcentral lists this long non-coding RNA (26326 nucleotides) under Setaria viridis. RNAcentral describes it as "long non-coding RNA (SVIR_LNC002800)". Lineage: Eukaryota; Viridiplantae; Streptophyta; Magnoliopsida; Poales; Poaceae. The record is from RNAcentral.
UUGCUUCCUGGGAAUUCUCGUCCAGUCCGUCCCUAUCCCGUACACCGUCUAUCCGCCUCCGUCCUCAUCCGCUCAAGUCCCGAUCCGCGCCGCUGGCCGCGGCCAUCCGAGCUGCCACCACCGGCACCAAGCAUCCGACUCCAGCUUGGCCACGGCAACCCCGGACGCGGCAGACGAAUCUUCCGGCUGGGCCUGGGAGGGCGACGGCGGCGCUCGAGAUCUAGCCCAGCGAGGGGCCGCGCCGCUCCCGUGCAGGUGCUUCGCCGCUCCCACGCAGGUGCUCCACCGCUUCGAGGUGAUUUGUUCUGUGCGAUAUAUACGCAGUACGCUGCCUGCUUGCUAGGAUGCGAUUUGUUCUGUGCGAUGUCUGUGCAAUGCAUAGAUGUGAUUUGUUCCUUUUGUUCUCGUAUGCGGCCAAAGCCAGUAGAUACAAAGAAUCUAUCACUCAGAAACAUGAUUAAGUUUUUUUGAUUGUUUGUUCAAGUAAAUAAAUUCCCAACUGACCAACUUCUCCUAAUUAAGUUCUGGAACACGUUUGUGGCAUAGAUACUUGUUGACGUCAGAUUUUGACACGUAUGGAAUCGGCGUCAAAAAAUAAAAGGAUUAGCCGAACACGUAUGGAAUCGGCGUCAAAAAAUAAAAGGAUUAGCCGAUGCGGCGAGUAAAAAGGGUGCGAUUGGGAAUCGGCCGGUUGGUGCUACAGUUGGAGAUCAGCCGAUUGGCGCUGCAGUGUUUUGGCGGACGGAGUUGGUAGAAAUCGGCCGAUUAAGAGGCUGGGGCAAUUGGGCCAAUACGGGCUUAAAGUGAAUUACAAAGAGAAGAUAAAGGAGGAUUGGCCCACAGGAGCACAACGACCAACUCCGAUGCGAGUUGUAAUUGUAAAUAUUUGUUUUCGUUUAAAAUUAGAGAUAGAAUCCUAGUCGGUUAAAAGAUUGGUUCUAACAGGCUAUAAAUAGCCAUCCUUAGAGAUCUGUAAAAACAACAUCAAAUCAAUACAACAAUCUACUAUUUCCUCGUACUUUACUUUCAAGUCGGCGACUUCGCCAAUACUUUUCUUCUUUCACGAGUUCGUACGGGUUGGCAGGACUGCAUCGACACGAUCUCCGGCUGAUUCUGUAAGUUCCGUUUAUCGAGUAAUAUCUAAGCUUUAACUUCGGGCGCAUCGCUGUCGUUUCGUUUAGAUUUAUUCACCAGUUAUCGAUAUUUACUAGAAUUCUAGGUUUUACCUAUUGUUCUAGUUUUAUCACCAGUUAUCCAGCUUGGAAUUAGAGCUUUCGGCUUAUUUACCUUUAUCGCUUAUCUAUCGCUUUCGCAUAGCCGAUUAGAUCUGUUUCAAGUGUUGUUUCUGUAGCGUUGUCUAGUUUUCUCUGGCAGUUUUCUUUACAAACGUUACCUAGUUGUCGGCUGUACCAUAGCCGAUUUCCUUGUUAUAGCAAAUCGGCCGAUUCGCUGAUAAGCUUCCUCGAGAUCGGAACCUUAGCCGAUCGCAGCCUCUGGGAUCUGACACGUUUCCUUCCUUGCCAAUCAAUAGGUCAGAUUGGCUGGCACGCCGCGCGAACCGCACCAGGACGAUUACCCGAAUAGGAGUUAAGCAGAUUCUCCCGGGUCGUGUGCCUGACGCUGAGAUUCAACCGGCUGAUUUUUAGCGCCAACACACUUUUGGCACGCCCAGUGGGACAAAUACGACCACUACGAUGUUGAAAACUGCCGAAAUCUCCGAAGACAACAUCAUCAAGGUGACGGAAGCAGACCUCAAGGACGACCAGAAGGAAGAGUUGGAGAGGCAGAUAGCACAGUACUGGAAGACAUGCCUACAAUCCUUCAGUCGUACCAGAAGCAGGGAAACUGUCAAGAAAGUUCCUUUUCCAACUCCCCGCCAGAUUACAAUCAUCGAAGACUCGGGCAAGAUGUCCGAGAUGGUUCAGCUGUCUGUCUAUCAAGCUUUCAUCGAUCAAUCUCUGGUGAUAACUAAUACGGUAUACAAUGCCGUCAUCAGCUCCCUGGCCAAUGGCGUGUCUCAAGGAUACCAAGGGCCGGCGUACGCCCCACCCAUCACAGCCCCGGUCAGGAGUUUUCCAAGCAUAUCCCACUCGGCUCCUCAGCCGAUCCAAGCUCAACAUGGAGGACCCAACGCUCAUUUGCCAUCAACGCAUCCGGGAUACAACGGCGCACCAUACCUCCAGUCACAGGCGCCACCUCAAUCCGUUAAGAUUUCCUCCGCGCAAUCGUCACCAUUAAAUCCAGUGCCUUGGGGGGCACCAUCGGCGGCGGCGGUCCAAGAUCAAUCGGCUGGCUAUGGAGGCUCUCCAACCCAGGCACUCUUCCAAUCGGCCGUUCGGCCGACAAUUCCACAGUAUCAACCGGCCACGUCGGAAAUUGGCAGGGGGGCAGAGACUGCUGAAGCGCUCCGGGGCGCUGCGCCGAUUAUACUAUAUGAUGAAACGACCGGUUUGCUAAGACACCAGAUGCCGACCACACAGCCGGCCACGUCACCGCAUAACCCGCCGCACGCUUUCGUUCAUCACCCAAUCAUCCCUCCGCCGAUCCACCAACAUGUGCCGGCUCCUCAGCCAGUAGUUCAUCAAUAGCAAGGAGACUGGACGGCACGGAUAGCAUAAGUAAUCCAAGAUCAAUUUGGUUUAAAGCUGAAGGUACAAACUUACACAUACAGAAUGUCGUACCCGCCAGCCUACGAUCUACUGCCAUUCCCCCAUCGGUACAAAGUUCUCGAUUUCACCAAGUUUUCGGGACUUGAUGAUACCUCAACUGUGGAGCACGUGAAUAGAUUCAUCAUCCAAUGUGGGGAGGCGGCUACACAGGAUGCCCUACAGGUGCGUCUCUUCUCAUCAUCUCUGUCCGGAUCGGCCUUCCAAUGGUUCACUACACUACCACCCAACUCCAUAGUUACUUGGGCCGACUUGGAGAGGCAGUUCCACAAGUACUUCUACGCGGGAGUGCAUGAGAUGAAAAUCUCAGAUCUGACCAGCCUCAGGCAAAGGAGUGACGAGCCAGUGUCCACAUAUGUGCAGAGGUUCAGGGAAGUCAGAAACAAGUGCUACACCCUAGUCCUGACCGAUGCACAGUUGGCCGAUAUAGCCUUCCAAGGUCUCCUGCCGCACAUCAAAGAGAAAUACGCUUCACAGGAGUUUGAAAGCCUGAGUCAAAUCGUACACCGACUGUCUGGUCAGGAGGUACGCCCCUUUGAUCAAUGGAGGAAUUUUCAGAAGAAGGUGGCAUACUUAGAAGGAUCUGAAUCCGAAGAGGAGGCAGAAAUCGGCCUGGCAGAGUGGGUUAAGGGGAAAAAGCCGAUAUCGUGUCCUUUCGGGAAAAAGGAACCAGAGGCAUUCGGUUUCGACAUGUCAAAGGCCGACAAAAUUUUCGACCUACUCCUCCAAGAAGGUCAGAUCAAGCUCUCACCCUACCAUACGAUCCCAUCGGCUGAACAACUGAAAAAGAUGAAGUAUUGCAAAUGGCAUAAUGCCACGUCCCAUGACACAAACGAGUGCAAAAUCUUCCGUCAGCAAAUACAAUCAGCGAUUGAGCCAGGCAGGCUCAAAUUUGAGGUCCCUACAAAGCCAGCAAAGCCGAUGAAGAUUGAUCAGCAUCCUUUCCCCACCAACAUGGUCGAUACAGGAAGGAACGCACUUCAAAUCAAGGUGCUGACGUCCGAUUCGGCUAAAAAGAGCGGCGCCGUGGACCCCAGGAAUCAAGCUGCACCCAAAGAUGUCAAAGGGAAAAGGCCGAUGGAUAAUGAACGCGAGGGAUCAGGAGGACCACGCAGACACAUCAGUUCCCAAUUUUUGCUAAACAAGUACCAGCGGCAACAGGAAAGUUCCAGGUUUCACAAAGAGAUGAUGCGACGACAUGAAGAUCAUUGGUGAUGCCCGUUCUUCAUCCAUUGCUGGGAAAAUAACCUCAGGUUGCCAUCGGCCGAUAACUACCCAGAAUGCAGCGGCCCAUAUCGCAACAAUCGGUCGUUCAGAAGGUCUCGCUCCAGAGAUCGAAGGCCGGAGCCAAUCUGCAGAAACUGGCGUGAGCAAGAAGAUCGGCGCCUUUCAGUGCGUGAUCGGCUGGGGGGCAGGAGUGACCGAUAUGAUCGGUCAAGAGACAGGCGUGAGAGAUACGAUAGGCUGGGAGGCAGGACCGAUCAGCACGAUUGAACAGAGGACGGAGUCAGCGCACACGAUCGGCUAGAAGAGAUGGUCGAUGCUCGGGUAUCAGACGAAAAUCCCUUAGGGCGGGAGCCGGAAUGGGAGCGUGCCAGACCAUCGGCAAAGCCAGUGAACCCUAGGUGGUGCUCGGAUGGGUUGACCAAAUCCCAAAAACGAAGAAUCCAACGUCUGCGCCAAUGGGAACAACAGGAAGAAGAGCAACAACAAAUGAUGGACAAGAAGAACGACAGGUCUCAGGUCUGGCGCCCCAAAAGACAUGACAAGGAAGGUGAUGACAACCAGGAAUCGACAGCUGAUGUCAACAUGGUUUUCAUCUUGCCGAUGGAGUUUAUAGCCCCCGCAGAUCGAUAUGACACGUCAGAGAUGGAAGAACAGAUGGCGCAAUUGGCUUUGGAGCCAAUGACGGCCACUUUUGAGAAGCCCGAAGAUGACAAAUGGCAGCACCUCAAGGCGCUGUUCCUCAAAGGACAUGUCAACGGCCGACCUGUCACUAGACUACUAGUGGAUGGAGGCGCUGCAGUCAACAUCAUGCCGUACGCCAUGUUCUGGAAGUUGGGUAAAAGCGACAAAGAUCUGACCAAGACAGACAUGGUGCUCAAAGACUUCGAAGGCAACGUGUCUCCCGCCCGCGGCGUACUCUGCGUCGACCUCACCAUCGGCAGUAAGACCCUCCCCACCACCUUCUUUAUUAUCAAUGGCAAAGGGUCCUACAAUAUGCUGCUCGAUCGCGACUGGAUACACGCAAAUUGCUGCGUCCCGUCUACAAUGUAUCAAUGCCUCGUACAAUGGGUCGGCGACAACAUCAAAAUAGUCACCGCCGAUUCCGCCUACAGCGUUGCGGCGGCCGAUGCAUAACAAUGGAGCUGCGAGCACGUCAAGUGCAUAUCCGAGAGGACCUGGGACACCGAUUUCCUGAAAGUGUCCGAUUUUGGCCUACAGCCCAUCCGAGCAGUCGGCUCUAAGGAUUCAGAUUAAAUGGAUCAAUUCGUCCGAGAAGAUGGGAAGCUGGAGCACGGGUUUAUGUCGGCCGAUUCAUUAGAGAUGAUAGAUUUAGGUGAUGGCACCAAGCCAAGGCCGACGUACAUUAGUGCUAAUUUGGAUCCAGGAUACAAAUGUAAAUUGACAAAUUUAUUGAAAGAGUUUAAAGACUGCUUUGCUUGGGAAUAUCAUGAGAUGCCUGGUCUGGACCGGUCCAUUGUUGAACACCGGUUGCCCAUAAAGCCGGAAUAUCGGCCGUAUCAGCAACCCGCACGGCGGUGUAAUCUCAAAAUUGUACCUGAUAUAAAGGCCGAGAUGUGGCGGAACUGCCCAACUUAAACUGGUUUAAAUGCGCCUAAUCGUUGUCGGAACAACGAUUAUCUGAAACGCACUUAAAACAGUAUAAGUCCGGUCAUCCGUCGAGUGUCCCUAGGACUCCUCGAAUGAUCCACGUCACGUCUCAUAGCCAUACACCAGGAUUGUUUCCAUGAUGGGAAAGCAUCAACAAAUAUUACAUUUUUACAUACAUACAUAAGGUACGAGUUAUUACAAGACGUAGUUUGAAAUAAACUUAACAGUGCAGGUCAGAGAGAAAUUCUAGGAAUUAAACAUAAACGGUUCAGGUGGGAGAUGAGCAGUUAAAGAUUUCUUCCAAGGGUAUUGCGAGACUCGUAACAAUGCCCUAAUUUUUUGGGGCUUCCUCCUCGGAGGGCUCCUGCGGUGCCUCUGAAAAUAGCCACAAGGGAUAACCCUGAGUACGGGGUACUCAGCAAGGCUUACCCGACUAACCAAUAUAAUAGUUUUUCCUGGAACUAUAUGAUAGCUUUUGGGUGUACUGGCUGACACACUUUUUGCCAAAGAGCUUACUAAAAUUUCAUCCUUAGCUUUAUCUUUUAAUACACUUAAGUUAUUACCUAAUCAUUCUAAAUGAUGAUAAAAAUAAAUAUUUACAAGCAUCAAGAUAUUAAGUCAUACACCAAUCAUUAGUGGAAAGAUAUUGCAUUCAUGAAAUUAUACUACGAUGCUCAACAAUGAUCAAGUGCAUUCAUAACCGAGAAUUGCGGUGAUCCGGAUCAAAUUACAUCCUGCAGGAGAGUACCCUGGUCACCAGUUAUGUACGACUGUCCAGGUCGUACGUAACGCCCUUUCGAUUUGCAAAACCAAGGAUUGGGAAUAAGACUACCCGGACCCAGGGACGCACCCCCACAUGGGACCCCACAUCUGGCCUGAUCUCCAUGUGAGUUUCAGGCUACGCCCCUGCCAAUCUCCAGCACGUCAAGCACGGGUACGGAGUAUUCCCGAUCAGAGGGUUUACUAACCUACCGGGCUUUACUGGUCCCAUACCUAGUAAGUAACCAGGUGUCAUUCACUUGAUCAAAGGUUAAGACAACGAUCGGGCCUUAACCAAAUUAAUCUAGCAGACAGAACUACAUCCUUAGCUUCUGUCCGCUUCUUAAUUUUCAAGCUAUCUUUUCAUAAUUUAGCAUGUAUGACCCAACAUUUCACCUUAAGGUUCGGUAAACAAAUUACUUAGGCAACUAAGCAUUUCUAGACUUGGGUUACUUACUAAAUGCUUGAACAAGUGGCAAAGAUGUCCUUAAAACAAGGUAUGAUAAUGCACAAGAAUGGGUUUCAAUCAACUCCUAGACCUAGUGCAUUCAAAUAGAAAAUAACCGAUAAUUGGACACAUGAAAUAAUACUAUCAAAAUAAAUAGGUAUAAUGCACCGGGGCUUGCCUUGUUCUAUAAAAAUGUUAGCACUGCCUGAUGGAUCGGCUUCGCAGGGAACCAACUCAAUGAUCUCUUCGAAUUCCGGAGAUCCUUCUGAAAAUUCCAAGAAAUCCCCUUCCGGUGCUUCGGUGUCUAUGAUAAAGCAUAUGCAGGGGUUAGUGAUGCAACUUUUUGAAUACAAGACUAUACAACUUUCCUUCAUGAUAAAGUUGCAAGCCAACAAGGGACUAUACGAUUUAUCAUGAUAAAGUUGCAAGCCAACACACAAAAACCCGAAAAGAUUAACCCGCCAUUUUUAUUUCCUUUACUAACCUUACCUAAGGCUCUUUCUUUUAUUUUUAGAAAACGUUGUAACUAUUUUCUAGUCUUGAAACCUAAUUUCCUAUGAGUUAACAAUAAUUUGUGAUUAUGAAAAUGUUAUUCCAUAUUUUAUGCAUUUAAUAAAGAUUAAGUAUUUAUUUAAAUACCUUAAAGAAAAGGCAUUAAACAAAUACCUAAAUUUUUAUUACUUUUCCUAGGGUAUAAAAAUUUUAAUGCAUAAAGGAAAAUAAAACAAUCCUAACAAAAUUGGUUUCACUAAUUUUGGACACCCCUAGAAAUUUCUGUGAUUUAAAUGGUGAUAACCGGAUUUAAUCUAUUAUUCUACAAAAGAAAAUCUAAAUUUUCCCGGAAAACUCCCCGGCCUACUUUUCUCACGCACCCCCUUCCUACCCCCCCUCUCUAACGCUGGGCCCGCAGCUCAGACCCACCCCUUCUCCUAUUCACUCUACCCGCCGACCUAUUCUCUCCUCUGCUGGGCUCACUGGGCCGUUUUCCCUUUUCCUUUUCAUUACUUAACCCGGCACUGGCCCAACGGCCCAACUGCUUCUUUUCCUUUUCCUUUUGCGAUACCGGCCUGCCUCACCGGCCUGUCGGUUGCUGGACCUCACGGGCCCCAGCCCACUUAAACACCAUCGCCCGGCCGCCCUCCUUCUUCUCCCUUCUUCCUUGUCGUGCGGGCCCGCUAUCACCAGAGCUUUCUUCUUUCUCGCGCCAAAACCCGAGCGCGGCAGGGGGCGGUGCGGCUCGCCGAUCGGCACCCCACCGGCGACGGGGCCAGGCUGGGGAAGCAUCCCCAUGCCCUAGCGCACCUAUGCGCGGCGGCAGCUCCUCGGGAGGUGGCCGGAGCCAUCCUCUCCAUGGCGGCGGGCGGCGAAGCUAACGGCCGGUUGGACUAAGCACGACGACGGUGCAACUUACCUCGUCGACUACCCCUACAGCUUCCUAGCAUCCCAAGGACUUACCUAUGAUUAACCACAAGGAAAAAGAACGACGGCAAGGUAAAGCUCACCGUGAGCAGGAGGUGCGGCGGUGGUGGACAGAAACGACGGCGGUGUAGGGCACACCGGCGGAGAGGCUGGGCAACAAGCUGCUAGGGUUGUUGGUAGGGUGUGAGUGGAGGUGUGGACGAAAGGAAUCGACGAGAGCUGCGGUGUGGUGGAGGAAUUUUGCUCGGCGGCAGCGGUGUGACAGAGAGGGGCGGCGGCGGUAAAAAGGACACACGGUAAGCAACGGCGGCGGGAGCGGUAGAUAUACGAAGUUUCACCGUGCGCAUGGACGACACCGUGGCCUAGUGCUAGGCUUGCGUGGUGAGGAGGUGGUGUAGCUGCUGUGCUGGCGGAGGGUCGACGACGCCGGCGGUGACACGUCGUGCCCUGCUCUGUCGUCCCCCCCCCUUCUUUGUUUUUCUGACGCCCGAAAUUCAGACCCCAAUCAUGGUCGAUUUUUAAUCCGAUGGUCCCAAGGUCCUUUAAGCAAUGUUGCAGAUAAUCUCGAGCUCUCCAAGUUUUAUUUUGGCUCUUGCCCGAGAUAAACAUCCCAACGUGGUCAAAUUUUGAAUUCUUUUCUCAGUUUAACUGAAUCCCUUUGAAUACCCUAUUCAGUUCGACAGUCACUUGAUGAGGGUCAUUGACCCAUCUUUGAAAAUACUUUCAGUGGCCUAAAUCCCUUCUUUUUAAUCCAACUACUAACCAAUUAUACUCUACAAUCAUCAGGGAUUCCAUUUUGCUCAUAAUCACCUAUACUUCUUGUACCACAUUCUCCUGAAUUCAGCUCCAAACAUAGGCACUUAUUACUGUUUUCAGACUUAGGAAAAAUGGCAGCUUCAGUGAUUCAGCCGAGAAUGGAAAAGUGCCAACUUUAGGCCCUAAAUUAAAUUUGUUUCCUUUGUAGUUCCUGAUCAACAACACCCUGGUAUACUUGUCCAAAGUCUAUACUUCAAUAUUGUAUAGUUGCCUUGGUCCACUUAUUUGGAAAAUUUGGCAGAAAUCAAUUUCCAAAAUGGACACUUGUGCUGUUUUUCUAAAAAUUCCAUUGUCGGACAGUGAACAGUACCUUCUCAAUUUGAUUUUUCAAUUACCUUUCUUGAGAUGUUUAGGACUAGGUUUAGUCUCACAUCUUGGUUUCCCAAAGUUUUAAACACUCUUAAGCUCCCAUUUCAUAUCUUUGCCAAAUUUUUCCGAAUUUAGAACUCAAAAUUCAAAUUUUGGUCAAAUUUGACUCGAAUUUGACUUUUAGUCACUUUCUUCUUCUUUUCUCCAUAAUUCUGCUUUUGAUUUUUCUUAACUACCUGUGAUGAUUUAAAACACCAGGUGUUACACAAGAUCACAAGGCUGAUUGAAGCAAAAUUUAUUCGGCAGUGCCGUUAUGCCGAGUGGAUCUUCAACAUUGUGCCUGUAUACAAGAAGAAUGGGAAGCUGCGCGUGUGCAUUGAUUUCAGGAACCUUAAUCAGGCUAUGUCGAUGGACGGAUGUCCGAUGCCGACAGCCAAUGUGUUAAUAGUUGCGGCCGCGGGUCAUAAAGUCAUUGUUUUAUGGACGGAAACGCCGGGUACAACCAAAUAUUAAUGGCCGAAGAAGACAUUUCGAAAACGGCUUUCAGAUGCCUAGGCCACCUCGGUUGGUUCGAGUGGGUAGUAAUGACUUUUGGGUUGAAGAACGUCGGCGCUACAUAUCAACGAGCCAUGAAUUACAUAUUCCACAAACUCAUCGGCGUACUGGUAGAGAUUUACAUCGACGACGUCGUGGUCAAGUCGAAGGGACACCAGGAACAUCUGGCUGAUUUGCGGCAAGUAUUGAAAUGCACGAGAAAGCAUGGGUUGAAAAUGAACCCGAACAAGUGCGCCUUCGGCGUAUCCGCUGGACAAUUUUUAGGAUUCAUGGUUCAUGAGCGUGGGAUAGAGGUCAACCGAAAAAUCAUAGCGACUAUCAAUAAAGUCGUGGCUCCACAGAAUAAAACUGAGCUGCAGCCCUUAAUCGGCAAAGUCAAUUUCAUCAGAAGAUUCAUAUCCAACCUGUCUGGACGCAUCCAAGCUUUCACACCGUUAUUAGAGUUGAAACCCAACCAAGAAUUCGUAUGGGGAGAAGAACAACGCAAGGCACUGGAAGACAUCAAACGAUACCUAGUCUCUCCACUCGUAUUGGUCCCACCACAGGUUGAUAAUCCAUUCAAGCUAUACUUGUCGGCCGACGAAUGAGCUAUCGGAUCGGUGCUGGUACAGGAGUUCGAAGGAAAGGAACGGGUGAUAUAUUAUGUUAGCAGAAGACUUCUGGACGUUGAAACGAGAUACUCCCCGGUAGAGCGAUUGUGCUUGUGUCUUCACUUCUCAUGCACCAAACUCAGACACUACCUGUUAUCGGCAGAGUGCGUAGUCGUAUGCAAGGAUGACAUAGUAAAGUACAUGCUGUCGUUGCCGAUUUUGAAAGGGCGGAUUGGAAAGUGGAUCUUGGCUUUAUCAGAGUUUGAUCUAAGAUACGAGUUGGCCAAAGCCGUCAAAGGUCAAGUCAUGGCCGAUUUCAUCGCCCAGCAUUGCGGACCAAAAGUCGCUGUCGUGGAACCAGUUCCGUGGACUCUAUAUUUUGAUGGUUCGUCAUGCGGCGCCGGGUCAGGAAUCGGCAUCGUUCUCAUAUUGCCUCGGGGGGCAAGUUAUGAUUUCUCUCUGCCGAUAGAAGCAUCCGCUACUAAUAACCAGGCGGAAUACCGGGCUGUCCUAAAAGGGAUACAAUUGUUAAGAGAGAUCAAGGCCGACACUAUGGAAAUUUUUGGGGAUUCCAUGCUCAUCGUGGACCAAUUGACAGGAAGAUCCGAGUGCAAAUAUGAUGUUUUGAGAAUUUAUUACGAGGACUGCCUCCAACUUUUGAAAGAAUUCAAGUCCGCGGUUAUUGAGCAUAUUCCCAGAAACUAUAAUGAGGAGGCCAACAGGCUUGCCCAGCACGCAUCCGGGUAUCGGCCGAUUCAAGGCGCCAUGACUCUAGAACUCACGGCCGACGAUUGGCGAAAAGAGAUUGCCGAUUAUUUAAAAGAUCCGUCCAAGAAAGUGGAUCGGCGAGUGCGUUUUUAAGCCACGAAGUAUGUAUUACUAGAAGACGAUUUGUUGUACCGAACGAUUGAUGGAGUUCUGCUCAAGUGCCUGGGAAUGGAGGAGGCAAAAAUCCUGAUGGGGGAAAUCCACGAAGGCGUAUGCGGAGCUCACCAAUCGGCUCAUAAAAUGAAGUGGAUGAUUAGGAAUAAUGGAUAUUAUUGGCCGACGAUCCUUGAAGACUGUUUCAAAAUAUUAUAAGGGAUGUCAAGACUGUCAGAAAUAUGGAAACAUGCAGCGUGCACCCACAUCGGCCAUGAAUCCAAUAAUCAAGCCAUGGCCAUUCAGAGGUUGGGGAAUAGACCUCAUCGGACAAAUUUACCCUCCAUCAAGUAAGGGGCAUAAAUUCAUUUUAGUAGCCACGGACUAUUUCACCAAAUGGGUGGAGGCGAUUCCAUUAAAGGCCGUAACAUCGGCCGCUAUGGUCGAUUUCGUAAGAGACCACAUUGCCUACCGCUUCGGCAUCCCUCAAACUAUCACAACCGAUUAGGGAACGAUGUUCACUUCGGGAGAGUUCGAGGAAUUCACUGCCGAUAUGGGGAUCCAGCUGCUGAACUCCUCCCCGUAUUAUGCUCAAGCUAAUGGCCAGGCCGAAUCUUCCAAUAAGGGGAUAAUUAAGUUGAUCAAAAGGAAGAUCGAAGAACAGCCCAAAAAGUGGCACUUAUGUUUGACCGAAGCUUUAUGGGCGUACAGGAUGGCUUGCCACGGGUCUACCAAGGUACCUUCUUAUCAACUGGUGUAUGGUCACGAGGCAGUAUUGCCAUGGGAGUUGAGAACGGGGUCAAGACGUACAUCGCUUCAGGAUUUGUUGGCUGCCGACGACUUUUUCUCGCUCAUGAAAAGGGAACUCGAUGAUUUGGCAGGUCAACGUUUGAGGGCCUUGAUCAGCAUUGAGGAGAAUAAAAAGAAGGUAGCCAGAUGGUAUGACAAGAAGGUCAAAGUCAAGCAGUUCUCCCAAGGGGAUCUGGUAUGGAAAUUGUGUUGGGAUACGAGGUAGGCUACACUAGCGCAAAUCAAAAUUUCUACCGCGUAUAACCAGGAAGAACUGCCGUAUAAGGAUCACGGGAUUACCACUCAACGCACUACUGGUGCGGAAGAUGUAGAUAUGCGUCGAUGCAGUGAAGACGAUCACGUAGUCGUACGUAGUCGAUCAACGUCACGUCCAGCAGCUCCUCCACGUGCAGCAAGAUCGCCUCCGGUGCCGCGGCUCGUCGUCGGCUUGUCAUGGCUCGUCGGCGGCUCGUCGAUGGCUCGUCCAAGUGCUGCAGGCGCAACACCUCCAAGGUAUCCACACGUGCAGGGAGGAAGCGUCGCAAGCCGGACUGCUAGAUUCGCGAGUUGCAACAGGCGAGGGCGUGGGAGGCGCGACAGGUGUGUUUCGCCAAAAGGUGUCGACCCUAGGGCGCCCCCACCCCUCUAUUUAUAGAGGUUCCUGAUGGGCCUCUGGAUCCGAGGCCCAUUAGUACUCCUAAACCUAAUCCAACUCGGAUCAGAUCCGAAUUGGGCUUCGAGCCCCUUAAGUGUGUGACCCUAUGGGUUCGGAUACGUAUAGACAUGGCCCGAGUACUCCUACUCGGCCCAAUAGUCGGUAGCGGCCUCUAGCAAGACGUGCCAACUCCUAUACGCACACGAAGAUCAUAUCAGACGAACCAUCACAACAUAAUAUACAUGCUAAUCCCUUUGCCUCACGAUAUUUGGUCUAGCUUCAAGCCGACCGCUCUUUCUCGAUCCUGUGAUUCGGAAUCCCUUUGUAGGUUAACUCUUAACCGUACGUAGCAUGGCCAUGCAUUUUCGGAUCCGAUCACUCGAGGGGCCCAGAGAUAUCACUCUCAAUCAGAGGGGGCAAAUCCCAUCUUGACUGACCAUGUCUCAUAGCAUGCUUCUUGACAAACCCGAAAGCUACCUUUAUAACUACCCUGUUACGGCGUAGCGUUUGAUAGCCCCUAAGUAGGUCGAUCCACAUCUAGAAUACAUGCGACAGUCUCAGGUCUAAGGACAAAGCGUAUAUGUUGUUUAAAGAGAGAACUACUUCUCGUGUUGGGUCAGUCCUAGCACAUGUCUCCACAUGUGUCCACAUUAUUAGUUCAACAUCUCCAUGUCCAUGACUUGUGAAACAUAGUCAUCAACUAAUACAUGUGCUAGUCUAAUAUUCAUGUGUGUCCUCACAUGAACUCCGACUAGGGACAACUUUAGAAUAACCAUACAAGUAAAGAGUUUCACAUACAAUUCACAUAAUUGCAAAUCAAUUCAAGUAGCCUUCAAUGGAUAUUCAAUGAACACAACAUACAAAUCAUGGAUACAAAUGGAAUAUCAUCAUCUCUAUGAUUGCCUCUAGGGCAUACCUCCAACAGUCUCCCACUUGCACUAGAGUCAAUCUAGAAGGUAUCUAAUACCCAUAGCUCUUACAUGCGCAUCAUGCUUAGCCUGCGGGAGUGGUUUUGUCAACGGAUCAGAAAUGUUCAGAUCCGUGUGUAUUUUGCAUAUCUUGAUCUCACCCCGGUUAACGAAGUCUCGAAUGAGAUGAAAUCGCCGCAUUACGUGUUUGUUCUUCUGGUAGUUCCUUGGCUCCUUUGCUUGCGCAAUUGCCCUAUUGUUAUCACAGUAGAGAUUCAAUGGGCUGGACGCAUUCGGGAACACACCAAGCUCAAUGAGGAAAUUCCUUAUCCAAACACCUUUCUUCGCGGCUUCCGAAGCCGCGAUGUACUCGGCUUCUGUCGUAGAAUCGGCCACCGUCUCCUGCUUGGAACUCUUCCAACUAACAGCACCACCAUUCAGCGUGAACACAAAUCCUGAUUGUGACUUUGAAUCAUCUCUGUCGGUUUGGAAACUAGCAUCGGUGUAACCUGUUACAACGAGCUCCUCCUCACCUCCAUAGACGAGGAACAUAUCUUUAGUCCUUCUCAAGUACUUAAGAAUGUUUUUCACCGCUGUCCAGUGACUCUCACCUGGAUCAGAUUGGUGUCUGCUUGUCAUACUUAGCGCAUAUGAAACAUCUGGGCGAGUACUUAUCAUUGCAUACAUGAUAGAUCCAAUAGCCGAGGCAUAUGGCACUCUACUCAUGCGAUCCCGCUCAUCAGCAGUCGAAGGACACUGAGUCUUGCUGAGAUGUAUGCCAUGUGACAUAGGCAAGAACCCUUUCUUUGCCUCUUCCAUGCUGAACCGCUUCAACACUUUGUCAAUGUAAGUAUCUUGGCUUAAACCUAUAAGCCUUCUCGAUCUAUCUCUAUAGAUCUUAAUGCCCAGAAUAUAUGCCGCUUCCCCUAAAUCCUUCAUCGAAAAACUAUUUUUCAGUGAAGUCUUUACGGACUCAAGCAUAGGAAUGUUAUUUCCAAUCAGUAAUAUGUCAUCCACAUAUAAGAUUAGAAAUACUACAGAGCUCCCACUAACCUUCUUGUAAACACAAGAUUCUUCUUCGUUCUUGGUGAAGUCAAACCCUUUGACCACUUCAUCAAAACGAAUGUUCCAACUCCUAGAUGCUUGCUUCAAUCCAUAAAUGGAUCUCUGAAGCUUGCAUACCUUUCCAGCAUUUUUCGGAUCGACAAAACCCUCGGGCUGUAUCAUAUACACGUCCUCAGCUAGGUUUCCAUUCAGGAAAGCUGUCUUGACAUCCAUCUGCCAUAUCUCAUAAUCGAAAUAUGCAGCUAUAGCUAGAAUAAUCCGAAUGGACUUAAGCAUCACUACGGGCGAGAAGGUCUCGUCGUAGUCAACUCCUUGAACUUGUCGAAAACCUUUUGCGACAAGUCGUGCUUUAUAGAUGUGAACAUUUCCAUCCAUGUCCUUUUUCUUCUUAUAGAUCCACUUGCACUCUAUGGCUUUAACACCAUUAGGUGGGUCAACCAAGUUCCAAACUUGAUUGUCUCCCAUGGACUCUAUUUCGGAUUGCAUGGCACUCUGCCAUUUUUCGGAGUCUGGGUCCAUCAUUGCUUCUGCAUAUGUCGCAGGCUCAUCAUUGUCCAACAAUAAUAUUUCUCGCAUUUCGCGGAGCCUUGCUGACCUUCGUGGUUGUGGCGGUGCUUCUCUUGCCAUGGGUAUCUCAACUUGUUCUGCUACGUUAGCAUCACUCAUUGAUUCUUGCCCGAUUGGCUCAUCUUGAACUUCUUCAAGAUGCACUGUCUUUCCACUCUUUUCUCCUUUGAGAAACUCUUUCUCUAGGAAAACCCCGUUCCGAGCGACAAACACUUUGCCUUCUGAUCGGUUGUAGAAAUAAUAUCCCAAAGUUUCCUUUGGAUAUCCCACGAAAAUGCACUUAUCCGACUUGGGUGUGAUCUUGUCCGACUGAAGUCGCUUGACAAACACUUCACAUCCCCAAAUCUUUAGAAAAGACAAACUAGGAACCUUUCCAGUCCAUAUCUCAUAUGGUGUCUUAACUACGGAUUUAGAUGGUACCCUAUUAAGUGUGAAAGCUGCUGUUUCUAGAGCGUAUCCCCAAAAUGACAACGGUAGGUCCGACUGGCUCAUCAUUGAUCGAACCAUGUCUAACAAAGUUCGAUUACGUCGCUCGUACACACCGUUUCUCUGAGGUGUUCCAGGCGGCGUAAGUUGUGGAACAAUUCCGCAACUCUUUAGAUGAUUGCUAAACUCGUGGCUCAAAUACUCGCCUCCACGAUCAGAUCGUAAGGCCUUAAUUUUCUUGCCACGCUGAUUUUCAACUUCAUUCUGAAAUUCCUUGAAACUUUUCAAAGGUUUCAGACUUGUGCCUCAUCAAGUAGACAUAGCCAUAUCUACUAAAAUCAUCAGUGAAAGUUAUGAAGUAUUGGAAUCCUCCUCUAGCCGUCGUGCUCAUUGGUCCGCAUACAUCACUAUGUACAAGUUCCAACAAGUCUACUGCUCUCUCAGGAAAUCCUGUGAAAGGCGUCUUGGUCAUCUUGCCUAGCAAGCAAGCCUCACAUGUCUCGUAUGAUUCAAAAUCAAACGAAGUUAGAAGUCCAUCAGAAUGGAGCUUCUUCAUGCGCUUUUCACUUAUAUGACCCAAACGACAAUGCCACAAGUAGGUAGGACUCAAAUCAUUAGGCCGAGGCCUUUUAGCACUUACAUUACAGAUAGGUGAACCAUCAAGAUUUAAAACAAAUAAUCCAUUCACAAUGGGUGCAAAAGCCAUAAACAUAUUAUUCUUAGAGAUUACACAACCAUUGUUUUCACUCGCAAAUGAAUAACCAUCCUUCAUCAAACAUGAAGGAGACAAAAUGUUUCGACUUAAACUAGGAACAAAAUAAUAAUUAUUCAACUCCAUAAUAAAUCCUGACGGGAGGUGGAGUUGCAUCGUCCCGACGGUCAACGCAGCAACUCUUGCAUUAUUGCCCACGCGGAAAUCAACUUCUCCUCUUUCCACGCUUCUACUUCUUAUCAUUCCCUGCAUCGAAUUGCAAAUAUGAGCAACCGAUCCGGUAUCAAAUACCCAAGAAUUAAUAAUUGUAUCAGCGAGAAAUAUGUUGUCUAUAACAUUAACAACAAGCGUACCUGAGGUAGAAUUACUCUUACUUCCGCCAUUCUUCAACGAAGCUAGGUACUGCUUGCAGUUUCUCUUCCAGUGACCAAGUUCAUGACAGUAAAAGCACUCUUUAUCUGGAGCAGGUCCAGCUUUAGCCUUGGGCGCUGGGUUUGGCUUGGACACUCCAGCCUUACCCUUCUUCUUCCAAGAAUUGCCCUUCUUCUUGAAGGUAGGCUUGUUCUGUACAGCCAUCACAUGGCUGGUACUAGCACUUUUCUUAAUGUCUACCUCUGCUGUCUUGAGCAUACCACACAGUUCAUUCAGACCCUUCUCCGUCCCAUGCAUAUGGUAGUUCGAGAUGAAGUUCCCAUAGCUAGGCGGAAGAGAUGAAAGAAUGAAGUCAGUGGCCAACUCUUUGCCCAUUGGGAAGCCCAGCUUCUCCAAUCGCUGAGUGUAACCAACCAUCUUGAUUACAUGUGGUCCUACUGCUGCGCCUUCUGCUAACUUGCACUCCAGAAAGGCUUUGGACACAUUGAACCUUUCGGUCCUAGCCUGUGUCUGGAACAUGUCCUUGAGCGCCACGAUCAUAUCGUGUGCCUCAUGAUUUGUUUCGAACUGCAUCUGCAGCUCGGGUUCCAUGCAAGCAAGCAUAAGGCAGCUUACCUCAAGAUUAGCAUCAAAUGCCUUCUUGUAAGCAGCCUUAACGGCAGCAGAUGCAUCAUCAGCAGGUACUGGUGGUAGUGGGGUGUCUAGAACAUCUUCCUUUUUCUCAGCCCUGAGAACAAUUCUCAGGUUACGGAUCCAAUCCGAGUAGUUUGUUCCAUUCAAUUUGUCCUUCUCAAGGACCGAACGCAAAGCAAACGAUGCGGUGGUGUUGCUAGGUGCCAUUUAAUCUACAACAAAAGUAAUGCAAAAUACACUAAGACAAACGUAUCCAUGAUAGAGCAAAUUACAUUAAACUAUUUUAACAGAAUCUACUCCCACUAAAAUCAAUAUCCCUCUAUUGAAACUUAGUGAUUCAGGAUCCACAACUAACAAGUCUACUAGUGAGCUUUAGCAUCACCGCUAGCAAACGAGGUAGAUCGGUAAGCAACUUUUGCUAAUCAUAUCACAUAUGACUCCUAUUGUUGGGUGACAUCUCUAUGUCUCGGCGCCCAACCUUUAUACCCCAAGGUCCUUAACCGUUAAGAUAACCUUGUUAAGCAAACCAACCCUUAUGCGUGUAAGUGUCCGACACACACCCGUCUAGUCAAGGAAAACUAGUGGCACCCUAAUUUCAUAGACCCACCACUAAUUGUACAAGACAUGGGACGGUGCAAGUUUUAGUUGGGAGGGCAUACUAACAUAAAAUUUGCGAGGGAUCGUUCUACUUCUAACAUCACAGCAUGCAAAAAGUAAAACAUAAACAGAAUAGCAUUCACACAGCUUGUGACACAGUAUGGCCCGUUUUCAUAUGGUGAUCUCCAUCUCCAUAGAACCUGUUCACCAUGGUGAUCUCCAUCUCCAUGUUCCAUGUGCGCCAUCCUCCUGGUGAUGAGUCCUCCAAGAACUAGAGCAUGCUAUUACGCCUAAUAGCUAGUAAAGAAUCUAGUAAUGAAGAUUACAUAGUUGCUUGGAUCAUCACAGAUUGGUACGCAGACCAUUAAAUACAAUAAAGUGACAACACAUAUGGCUCCUGCCGUGUUGCCGUACGCGUGACACGAAUGAGUUACACACAUGCAUCACAUACACAAGGGGGCCAUACUGAUCACAAGAUACAUACAUACAUCCUGCAAAACAGAGUUAGGCGUCCUAACGUUCCAAACUUCGGAGGCCCGAAACUCCAUCUUCCAAGCCAAAUUUGGGAAAUCAAAUCUCGCCGAAAAUGGCGAAGCUGUUGAAAUUCAUGUGUAACUUUUUCUGUAGAUCAAUUUUCGUAUAAAAAUCGCCCCGAUCCGAGAUCGUACCGAAAAGUUACGGCUGAUUUACCGAAGCAUACGCAUACGGCAAAAUCCCGACCCCGGCAGUAGAUCCCAUCUACUAUUGCACAUCUAAUGCGCCUGGCGUGUGACCCUGGAUCUCGAUUCAAUCAAUCAUAUUGAUCUUCGCUCACUGCAACUGGAUUUACGUGUAUCACUUAACUCCGAUGGCGGAAACCGACCGGUAGGAGUAUGUCGUUACACUACCAUUGCAGCAAGGGCACGAGACCAGGACAUAGAUCAAACAGAAAACUCGCAUAUCUCCAUAUGCACACAUCCCGAAUCCAAAACUAAGCAGCUACGGCUCUUGAUACCACUGUUGGGAUACGAGGUAGGCUACACUAGCGCAAAUCAAAAUUUCUACCGCGUAUAACCAGGAAGAACUGCCGUAUAAGAAUCACGGGAUUACCACUCGACGCACUACUGGUGCGGAAGAUGUAGAUAUGCGUCGAUGCAGUGAAGACGAUCACGUAGUCGUACGUAGUCGAUCAACGUCACGUCCAGCAGCUCCUCCACGUGCAGCAAGAUCGCCUCCGGUGCCGCGGCUCGUCGUCGGCUUGUCGUGGCUCGUCGGCGGCUCGUCGAUGGCUCGUCCAAGUGCUGCAGGCGCAACACCUCCAAGGUAUCCAUACGUGCAGGGAGGAAGCAUCGCAAGCCGGACUGCUAGAUCCGCGAGUUGCAACAGGCGAGGGCGUGGGAGGCGCGGCAGGUGUGUUUCGCCAAAAGGUGUCGACCCUAGGGCGCCCCCACCCCUCUAUUUAUAGAGGUUCCUGAUGGGCCUCUGGAUCCGAGGCCCAUUAGUACUCCUAAACCUAAUCCAACUCGGAUCAGAUCCGAAUUGGGCUUCGAGCCCCUUAAGUGUGUGACCCUAUGGGUUCGGAUACGUAUAGACAUGGCCCGAGUACUCCUACUCGGCCCAAUAGUCGGUAGCGGCCUCUAGCAAGACGUGCCAACUCCUAUACGCACACGAAGAUCAUAUCAGACGAACCAUCACAACAUAAUAUACAUGCUAUUCCCUUUGCCUCACGAUAUUUGGUCUAGCUUCAAGCCGACCGCUCUUUCUCGAUCCUGUGAUUCGGAAUCCCUUUGUAGGUUAACUCUUAACCGUACGUAGCAUGGCCAUGCAUUUUCGGAUCCGAUCACUCGAGGGGCCCAGAGAUAUCACUCUCAAUCAGAGGGGGCAAAUCCCAUCUUGACUGACCAUGUCUCAUAGCAUGCUUCUUGACAAACCCGAAAGCUACCUUUAUAACUACCCUGUUACGGCGUAGCGUUUGAUAGCCCCUAAGUAGGUCGAUCCACAUCUAGAAUACAUGCGACAGUCUCAGGUCUAAGGACAAAGCGUAUAUGUUGUUUAAAGAGAGAACUACUUCUCGUGUUGGGUCAGUCCUAGCACAUGUCUCCACAUGUGUCCACAUUAUUAGUUCAACAUCUCCAUGUCCAUGACUUGUGAAACAUAGUCAUCAACUAAUACAUGUGCUAGUCUAAUAUUCAUGUGUGUCCUCACAUGAACUCCGACUAGGGACAACUUUAGAAUAACCAUACAAGUAAAGAGUUUCACAUACAAUUCACAUAAUUGCAAAUCAAUUCAAGUAGCCUUCAAUGGAUAUUCAAUGAACACAACAUACAAAUCAUGGAUACAAAUGGAAUAUCAUCAUCUCUAUGAUUGCCUCUAGGGCAUACCUCCAACAAGUUGGUGCUGCCGAUUGGGUCUAAAGAUCCUAAGUUCGGUAAAUGGUCUCCUACUUGGGAAGGGCCAUAUAGAAUCGGCCGAUGCGCUCCGGGAAACGCAUACAUUCUAGAAACAAUCGAAGGAGAAGAAUUUACUAGGGUCUUGAACGGGAGGUACCUGAAAAGAUAUUACCCCAGUAUAUGGGUCGGUGCAUAAAAAUUGUUAGGGGCAAGGCAGGAUAGAACGGUUACUUCCUGGAUAAUCAUAUAGCCGAUGCAGAAAAAGAAAUCGCCUAGAGGAGAAAAGUAAUCGUUCAGGUUGGCUAAUUUGUCAUUCGGUACGGACGAUAAGGUACACGGCCGACACGGUACGAGUUGCCCUUAGAACAAAAAAUACUCAACCACACUUCUUCUUAAGUUCCCUCUCAAUCCGACCUAAUUCUAUCAGGAGGCGGGUGCUUCUGUCUUCCACAUCUUUCAUCGUGGCCUCCGCCUCAACCUGACGAGGAAGAGGAUGGCUCCGAUCCAGUACCUGGCGAGAUGUUCCUGCUGCUGCGUCUUCAAGAGCGACCGGGUGAGGGAGUGGGUGGCUCCUGUUGACUGGCGGCCGCCUGUAAUAGUUGCCAUCGAUGUGAUCCCAGAUCCGUUGAACGUCGGCAGGGAUGUGAUCUCUGAGUUCUUCACGGUGUGCCCUGAUCAAGUCCUUGUCUUCCUGCGACAAUGGUUCGUCAGGGUGCAUGAGUUCGAUCGCCCGUUCGAGUUCGGGGUUAAGGCGUCUCGGCUGAAAAAAUUAACACAUAACUGCCUAAAGUCAGAUUGGUUAAAAGAUCAAACUAGAGGUGGAAAAACAAAGGCAGAUCUCGUACCUGGUUGACGGAAGAAGAAGAAAAGGAAGAGGAUGAAGAAGACAUCUCUGCAAGUAUUCCGAUGGAGAAAGCAAUUGGAGGGAGAAAAGAUUGAGCGGGGCGAGUACCCUUGAAAGCAAUACCAAGGCUGGUACUUAUAGGAAGAGAAAGGGCGAGGGUUUGGUAAGACGCGUCCCGUCAGAAUAAAAAAGGUAAUAAAUAAAGGGGUGCCAUGAAGGACGGGUCAAGAUUGAGUUCGGGCAUCAAACAAUCAAAGGGUUUUAAUGUUCUUACAAAACAGCUAGUACUUUUACAGUUCAUCCCAGAAGGGCAUUAAUGGCUGCAAUCGCUCGUCGCCUAAUUUGAUCGGCCGAGUCUAAAACCCGCUGGUCGUCCUCCGCCGAUCCCGGAACCUUUGGCAUAUGGCGGUGAAGUCUGAGGGCUUCGUGGGCUAAGUGCUGCCUCUCCUGCUUCAGAUCGGCGAUGACGGAGGGGAGAUCUUGAAGUUUCUGCUCUUCGAUGGCUAUCUCCUUGACUACCUGUUCCAUUUCCUUGGCGAGUUUUGCCCUUCGGCGCUUGAGCCGAGCUAUGGUACCGACGAUUCCGGAGCGGGAGUUCUCGAGGAAGUGGAUCCGAUGGUGUACCUCUUGGGCCCGGUGCUUGUACGAAUCUUCCUCCUCACGAGUCUUGGCCAGCUUGGCACGAUCGACCAUAUGGCGCAGAGCCCUGAACAUUGGGAUCCGCAUCGAUUCAAUGUAUGCGGCGGGUGCCAAGGCUUCUUCCGCCUCUUCUGGGACUCGGCCGCUGACAUCACCAAAGAGCUGUCGAAUCGGCGAGGCAUCCUCCACCAAUCGGCCGAUGUCUUCCUGAAGAAGGGUUCGUAUGCUCUCGAGCUUGGCGCAGACAUCGUCUGGGAUGGAGCUUAAGGUAACUUGAUGAGCGGCGACUUUUUCUUCAUCAGAGAGUGCAACCGCAAAUGAGAAGAGGCUAUUAUUAGGAGUGUCCUGUUCCUGCAAAAGAAUAAAUGUAAGGAAAAAUAAGUUAGCCGACGGUGAUAGCAAAUCGGCCAGUUCGGGUAAUAGAACUUCUUACUUCUUUAAAGCAGAUUUCCCCUAUUUGUGCCUGCGGGAGUGUUACCCUCGGUUCAGGAGCUGGUGCGAUUGGCUCAUCGAAAGAGGAGGAUUUGACGAUUAUCGGCGUUCUGCUCGGGCCGGCCUCUUGAGGAACUUUUCUUGCCGACGGCUGUUCGGAAGGUACAGCUAGCGUGCCGAUAACCUACGUCAAAAGUGGUCAGGUCAUUGCUUAAACAUUAAAGGAUUAAGUUUAAGAGAUCCUGUACCUCAGUGGGAGGAAGCACUGGUGCUCCAGUUUCUGCCUGGGGCGUUGCUGAUUGCUGUGGAGCCUCUGGGGCAAUUUGCGAGGCUUGAUAUAGGGGAGGAGUCAGCGUUGGAAGAAUAAUCGGGAGGAACUAAAAACGAGUUUACCUGAAUGGCUUCUAGCAACAUUGAUGCGGCGGCCGCUCCAGCUUCUGUAGCAGCUUGGGGGUCAACUUCCUCGGUGACCGGGAGAGUCGGCGCAACCAAAGACUCCGCCGAUGCAGCCGCAGAUGGAUCAGCCGAUUCCGUGCGGGCGCGCACUCGGCGGCUUAUUUUCUUUAUGAUUUUCCUUGGUGCCUGCUUCAAUUGGCCAGUGAUGUCGUCAACGGAGGGGGCAUGAUAGCCGAUAAGGGGGAACUCCGUGUACGGAUAACGAUCCUCUAUCGGCCGAUCGCUCCGGCUGCGUUUCGGGGGGGCUCGACUCUCAGACUGAAAGAAAAAAUAAGAGUCAAUGGUAUAAAAAAAAGAGAUCAAAAUUGGCUGAGGAAGGAGUGAUACCUCUGUGUUCGGAUCAAUGUUGUCAGGGUCCAGGAUGUUGCAGUAUAUCGCCGGGGAGGCGCAGAAGAGAUAUUGUUUCCAUUCUGCCCACCACAGCUUGAAUUGUUGGACAGCAAAAGGGGCCACUAUCCAAUUGGUCAAGUCUAUGGUGCUGGAAUCUGGGACUCGGUCGUACAGCCGACUGUAAUCGAGACAUUUGGUGAGCUCAUCUCGGAACUUUGCCCGGCCGGUGAAGUAUGCAUAAAUCGGCAGUUGACCCAAGCCGAAUUGUCAUGCUAUGACAGAUGGAUUAUUAAAUUCAUAAGUAGGGGCAUCCUUCCCCGAGAAGAAAUUCGCCAGCAGGAUCCCUGGCUUGAUCAGCUCAUCUGUGAGGUCGUCAUCAAAUGUGUUGGUCGUUGAGUCGAAGCAAGAGGGGAGCUCGAAGAGUGGUUCCGAUCUCUGAUACGGGAACCAGCUAGUUGUUUCUUUGCUGAAGCCAUUGUAGAAGCAUCUAAAGUAUUCGGCUACCUUGGUGGUAGAGUACUGGCAAUAGGAGAAGGCCGAUGCUGCUUCGCUAAAGGAAGUACACCGACGCCGUACGGUGGGAUUUUCCGCCGAUUCGAUGUUGAGAAAAGUCAUGUGCUCAACUCGUUGCUGUGAGAUCUUGCUAAUGUAUAGAUUGAGCCAUAGGUUGAUGAACCACCAGGGUCCACCUGGAUUUCCAAUCGGCUCUCCCUUGGAUAACUUGACGCCGAUCUGAUGCAGCAUAUGAUAGGCCGAUCCUAGUAGAUGCUUUCCGAGAGGAACAGAUGCUCCUAUCGAUAAUGCCUCGGCCAGAGCCUGUGUAUUGGAAGAUGGACCAGCUGCUCUCCCACAGAAGAGGUGUUUCUCUAGCCACAUCAUCAAGAAGGCCGCGUGCUCUCUCUCUGCGACUGUCCCGGUUCUCUUGUUGCUUUUAAUGAACCCUUUUCACCCGCCGAUUCCUUUUGUUUCUAGCCGAUGGGUCGGCUUGACCAAGUAGCGGAAAGGGGUGUCAGGAGAAGAGAUGUCGAGGCUGGUCAACAUUACCACAUCAGCCAAAGUGGGAGUCAUGGGCCCAUGUCCGAAGAGAAACGUGUUUAGAGCGUCGGACCAAAAAUAGGAGGCUGCUAUCACUGGGACAAGGACAAGUUGAUACACUAUCCGAUUUUUCGCUCGUCCCAUUGAACCCUUUUAGAGGUGGCUAUCCUUUGAUACCACUCUUUCCAACCAGGGGUUUCAUUCGGGCAUGAUCUGAAAGUUCCUGACCAGUGAUCUAGGUCCAUGGUCGACUGCUUAAAUGGAAUUCUAUGGGUUUCCAAGUUGAUUAGAUCAGUUGGAUCUGGGUUUCCCAUAGGGCCAAGACAGAUAAGACCGGGGGUUUCGGUAAGGCGAAUGGUAAUCUGGUGCCUAACCGCCUAAGAAAGGUAAAAAGGAAAGAAAUGAGAACAGAUCUAAAAUAGGUGCCUUGGCGGUGAAAAGUAAAAAGAAAGUUUCAGUAAGAACCUCCGGGAUGAAGCUCAUCGUGGUUGGAGGAAUUGCUGGUGGAGCUACGGACGCUGAAGCCGUCGGUGAAGCCUCUGUCGCCGAUGAAGCUCCCGCUCCCGCCGAUGGAGCUGCUACCACCGCCGCUGGAGCCGCCGCCGUUGAAGCCGUCGCUGGGGUUUCUGGUGCUGGUGAAGUUCCUGAUGGUGCCGCCGUUGGGGAGAUGGUGUGGAAUGUGGAUGAAAAGGGGUCGCCGGAGGAAGAAGGAAACCAAUGCGCCAAAGAAGGAAGACGUGGGCUUGCGAAAAAGAAGUGCGGGACGUGCUGAUAUUUAAGGACGGUCUGAGAAGGGGUAAAGGCGGGAUUUUUACCGCGCCGUUGACGCGAUUUUCGGGGAAGUGGUUGUCUCAGGCGCUCGUUUCGAAAAGAUUGCAAUCAUCAGGCAGGAGACCGCGAAACGGAAAGAUAUUUUUAAUGCGUUUAUUUCGGAAGGGAAGUUGAAAGGAAUUUCGAAGUAAAGAUUAUGUUUUAUUCCGAAACUGGGGGGCAUGUGUUGACGCCAGAUUUUGACACGUAUGGAAUCGGCGUCAAAAAAGAAAAGGAUUAGCCGAUGCGGCGAGUAAAAAGGGCGCGAUUGGGAAUCGGCCGAUUGGUGCUACAGUUGGAGAUCGGCCGAUUGGCGCUGCAGUGUUUUGGCGGAUGGAGUUGGUAGAAAUUGGCCAAUUUAGAGGCUGGGGCAAUUGGGCCAAUAUGGGCUUAAAGUGAAUUACAAAGAGAAGAUAAAGGAGGAUUGGCCCACAGGAGCGCAAUGACCAACUCCGAUGCGAGUUGUACUUGUAAAUAUUCGUUUUCGUUUAAAAUUAGAGAUAGAAUCCUAGUCGGUUAAAAGAUUGGUUCUAACAGGCUAUAAAUAGCCAUCCUUAGAGAUCUGUAAAAACAAUAUCAAAUCAAUACAACAAUCUACUAUUUCCUCGUACUUUACUUUCAAGUCGGCGACUUCGCCAAUACUUUUCUUCUUUCACGAGUUCGUACGGGUUGGCAGGGCUGCAUCGACACGAUCUCCGGCCGAUUCUGUAAGUUCCGUUUAUCGAGUAAUAUCUAAGCUUUAACUUCAGGCGCAUCGCUGUCGUUUCGUUUAGAUUUAUUCACUAGUUAUCGAUAUUUACUAGAAUUCUAGGUUUUACCUAUUGUUCUAGUUUUAUCACCAGUUAUCCAGCUUGGAAUUAGAGCUUUCGGCUUAUUUACCUUUAUCGCUUAUCUAUCGCUUUUGCAUAGCCGAUUAGAUCUGUUUCAAGUGUUGUUUCUGUAGCGUUGUCUAGUUUUCUCUGGCAGUUUUCUUUACAAACGUUACCUAGUUGUCGGCUGUACCAUAACCAAUUUCCUUGUUAUAGCAAAUCGGCCGAUUCGCUGAUAAGCUUCCUCGAGAUCGGAACCUUAGCCGAUCGCAGCCUCUGGGAUCUGACACGUUUCCUUCCUUGCCAAUCAACAGGUCAGAUUGCCUGGCACGCCGCGCGAACUGCACCAGGGCGAUUACCCAAACAGGAGUUAAGCAGAUUCUCCCGGGUCGUGUGUCCGACGCUGAGAUUCAACCGGCUGAUUUUUAGCGCCAACAAUACUAUCCAUGAUUUUGUACCUUUAGUUGUGAGUUUUUAGAGAUUUAGAUUUACAAUGCUCUAAAGAGUUUGAAUCAAACAUUCAAGCAUCUUGGGAAUUACCAUGUUCUGGUGGUGUCAUACAUACAUCUAUGGACCCACCAGAAAGUUUGGACAAUCUUAAAUAUAGGAUUGGACACCAA